GUCGAGAAUAAUUCACAAUGGACGAAAGUCUGAUGGUGCAACGCCGCGUGGAGGAUGAAGGUCUUCGGAUUGUAAACUCCUGUCAUCGGGGAGUAAGACCUGGCGGUAAAUAGCCGACAGGGUUGAUAGUACCGGAAGAGGAAGGGACGGCUAACUUCGUGCCAGCAGCCGCGGUAAUACGAAGGUCCCAAGCGUUGUUCGGAAUCACUGGGCGUAAAGGGUGCGUAGGCGGCGUGGUAAGUCAGAUGUGAAAUCCCGGGGCUCAACCUCGGAACUGCAUCAGAUACUGCCAUGCGUGAGGGCUGGAGAGGUAACUGGAAUUCUCGGUGUAGCAGUGAAAUGCGUGGAUAUCGAGAGGAACACUCGUGGCGAAGGCGAGUUACUGGACAGCAUCUGACGCUGAGGCACGAAGGCCAGGGGAGCGAAAGGGAUUAGAAACCCUAGUAGUCC
This 450-nucleotide ribosomal RNA is filed under the name uncultured bacterium. Its description in RNAcentral is "partial 16S ribosomal RNA". It matches the Rfam family "Bacterial small subunit ribosomal RNA", at positions 354 to 796 of the family's 1533-position model. The record is from RNAcentral.